AGCAGCCGCGGUAAUUCCAGCUCCAAUAGCGUAUAUUAAAGUUGUUGCAGUUAAAAAGCUCGUAGUUGAAUUUCGGAAUCAAUGGAUCGGUCAUGCCAAUCGGUGUGUACUGGUUUGAUUGGUUCUCACCUUCUAAGGAACCGUGAUGUCAUUAAUUUGGUGUCGCGGGGAAUUAGGACUGUUACCUUGAAAAAAUUAGAGUGUUUAAAGCAAGCUCACGCUCGAAUACAUUAGCAUGGAAUAAUGAAAUAGGACAUUGUAUUCUAUUUUGUUGGUUUCUAGGAUCGAUGUAAUGAUUAAUAGGGAUAGUUGGGGGCAUUAGUAUUCAAUUGUCAGAGGUGAAAUUCUUGGAUUUAUUGAAGACUAACUACUGCGAAAGCAUUUGCCAAGGAUGUUUUCAUUAAUCAAGAACGAAAGUUAGGGGAUCGAAGACGAUCAGAUACCGUCGUAGUCUUAACCAUAAACUAUGCCGACUAGGGAUCGGAUGAUGUUAAUUUUUAAUGACUCAUUC
This 511-nucleotide ribosomal RNA is filed under the name uncultured Glomus. Its description in RNAcentral is "SSU rRNA". It matches the Rfam family "Eukaryotic small subunit ribosomal RNA", at positions 569 to 1081 of the family's 1831-position model. The record is from RNAcentral. Lineage: Eukaryota; Fungi; Glomeromycota; Glomeromycetes; Glomerales; Glomeraceae.